RNAcentral lists this ribosomal RNA (811 nucleotides) under Flavobacterium collinsii. Its description in RNAcentral is "bacterial SSU rRNA". It matches the Rfam family "Bacterial small subunit ribosomal RNA", at positions 88 to 902 of the family's 1533-position model. The record is from RNAcentral. Lineage: Bacteria; Pseudomonadati; Bacteroidota; Flavobacteriia; Flavobacteriales; Flavobacteriaceae.
CUAGAGACCGGCGCACGGGUGCGUAACGCGUAUGCAAUCUACCUUUUACAGAGGGAUAGCCCAGAGAAAUUUGGAUUAAUACCUCAUAGUAUAGCAGUUUCGCAUGAAACCACUAUUAAAGUCACAACGGUAAAAGAUGAGCAUGCGUCCCAUUAGCUAGUUGGUAAGGUAACGGCUUACCAAGGCUACGAUGGGUAGGGGUCCUGAGAGGGAGAUCCCCCACACUGGUACUGAGACACGGACCAGACUCCUACGGGAGGCAGCAGUGAGGAAUAUUGGACAAUGGGCGCAAGCCUGAUCCAGCCAUGCCGCGUGCAGGAUGACGGUCCUAUGGAUUGUAAACUGCUUUUAUACGAGAAGAAACACUCCUACGUGACGGAGCUUGACGGUAUCGUAAGAAUAAGGAUCGGCUAACUCCGUGCCAGCAGCCGCGGUAAUACGGAGGAUCCAAGCGUUAUCCGGAAUCAUUGGGUUUAAAGGGUCCGUAGGCGGUUUAAUAAGUCAGUGGUGAAAGCCCAUCGCUCAACGGUGGAACGGCCAUUGAUACUGUUAAACUUGAAUUAUUAGGAAGUAACUAGAAUAUGUAGUGUAGCGGUGAAAUGCUUAGAGAUUACAUGGAAUACCAAUUGCGAAGGCAGGUUACUACUAAUGGAUUGACGCUGAUGGACGAAAGCGUGGGUAGCGAACAGGAUUAGAUACCCUGGUAGUCCACGCCGUAAACGAUGGAUACUAGCUGUUGGAAGCAAUUUCAGUGGCUAAGCGAAAGUGAUAAGUAUCCCACCUGGGGAGUACGUUCGCAAGAAUGAAACUC